RNAcentral lists this ribosomal RNA (1377 nucleotides) under Triticum aestivum (bread wheat). RNAcentral describes it as "partial small subunit ribosomal RNA". Lineage: Eukaryota; Viridiplantae; Streptophyta; Magnoliopsida; Poales; Poaceae. The record is from RNAcentral.
AUGAAGUCUCACGACUGUCACGUGCUGAUGACGCAGAUACUUCCAGUUGCAAUCCGUGGGAUCAUGGACGCGCACGUCCGUGAAAUUCUAUUUGGCCUAUGCAACUUUUUCGACGUCAUCUCUCAGAAGUCGGUUGGCGCGAGGCAACUCAGAAGGCUACAGGAAGAGAUCGUGGUGAUACUAUGCGAGCUUGAGAUGUACUUCCCGCCCGCAUUCUUCGACGUUAUGGUGCAUCUGCUGGUCCAUAUCGUGGAGGAUAUCAUCCAACUCGGGCCGACGUUCCUGCACAGCAUGAUGCCGUUCGAAAGGAUGAAUGGUGUCAUCAAAGGAUACGUUCGCAACAUGUCACGUCCAGAGGGAAGGAUAGCCAGGGGCUUUCUGACCGAAGAGUGCAUCUCCUACUGCACGAAUUAUCUAGGCAUCGAGAACCCCGUUGGUCUGCCCGUCAACAGGCACCUCGGCAUGCUCGCUGGAUGGGGUCACCGUGAGGGUCGCCGCGAAAUGCAUGUCGACUUCGAGGGUCGACUCGCCGACUUUGAAAGAGCAAACCUAGUCGCGCUACAACACAUAGACGUGGUCGAUCCUUGGGUGGUAGAGCACAAAACCUUUAUUGAGAAGACGUACAAUGACCGAGGCCAACAGAGGACGGACGGAGAUAUAAUCAAAGAGCACAACUCAUGUUUCAUGCGUUGGUUCAAGCAAAAGCUUCUGUCGUACCCUUUACAUGAGGAUUCUUCCGUGGAAGAACAACUCAUAUUCGCCUUGUCACAGGGCGCCGAGCACAACCUGAUGACGUAUGAGGCGUACGAUAUCAACGGCUACACAUUCUACACCGAGGACAAGGACAUGAAGAGCGAUGGUUAUCGGAACUCCGGGGUAACGAUGGAAUCCUACACCGGUAACGACAAGGACAGAUACUACGGAAGGAUCGAGGAGAUCUGGGAGCUGAGCUACGCUGGAGAGAAGGUCCCGAUGUUCCGUGUCAGAUGGGCCAAGAGCGUCAUAAAAGAAGACCGGUAUUUCACCACCAUGGUUAUACCCGAAGCCAAAUCCAAGACCGCAGGCGCGAACGUCACCGCGAAAAAUGAGCCAUGGGUACUGGCUUCCCAAGUGGACCAAUGCUUCUUCAUUACCGACCCGUCAAAGCCCAGUCGUGUUGUCGUGAGGAGAGGCAAAAGGAAGAUCAUCGGAAUGGAUGGAGUCGCCAAUGAGCAAGACUUCAACAAGUACGGCGACCCGAAGAUGGAACAUGACGACGACGAUGAAGUAUCAGCAUACACCACAAGAAGAAGCAGGACCACCCUACCUAAAGGACGUCCGUUCAAGAGAAGAACUCCAUUUACAAAAAAUAAGGGCAAGAAGAUUGUGAACAGAUAG